AAAUGCGAUAAGUAAUGUGAAUUGCAGAAUUCAGUGAAUCAUCGAAUCUUUGAACGCACAUUGCGCCCGCCAGCACUCUGGCGGGCAUGCCUGUUCGAGCGUCAUUUCAACCCUCAGAACCCCUUGCGGGAUCUGGCGUUGGGGAUUGGCAUCCAGCCAGCCCCGAAAUCUAGUGGCGGUCCCUCCGCGACCUCCCCUGAGCAGUAGCGAUACCUCGCAGCGGGACAGCGGUCUGACCACGCCGUAAAACUCCCAACUUCUCAAGGUUGACCUCGAAUCAGGUAGGAAUACCCGCUGAACUUAAGC
This 306-nucleotide unclassified non-coding RNA is filed under the name plant metagenome. RNAcentral's name for it is "partial contains 5.8S ribosomal RNA, internal transcribed spacer 2, and large subunit ribosomal RNA". The stretch from base 1 to 104 matches the Rfam family "5.8S ribosomal RNA", at positions 51 to 154 of the family's 154-position model. The record is from RNAcentral.